AAACAAAGGAAUAUGGAGUAUAAGGUUCCAAGCUAAUCUAACAAGAAACAAGGAUCAAGGGAUAUUUUUGGGGAAAGCUUUGAAGAUGGGUUACAAACUAGAAAGGAAUGAAUGCAUCAAAACCACAAGAAGUACACUAUUUCCCCUCAUUACUGAAAGUCCUUCAACACCUUGCAGUAGAGUCAGCCAACCUCUUCCUCAAGGUGAAAUGAUGUUUAAUCUCCUUAUGAGGAUUGAUGGGAAGUUAACUGAAUAGGCUAUGAAGAUAACAAAGAUUAAAGAGAAACUUUAGCAACUUGAAGAUCUUCUACAUCAAGCCAAGAAAGCCAAAUCCCUUACUUGUAAAGCUUCAGCCAUUGUUGCAAGCAUGUCCAGUGAAAGAACUACUACUGAGCAGUUUGAUCCACACACAUCUGAACAUGAAGAAGAAAUUAAAAAAGAGUAAACAGAUAAUGAAAAGGAGUAAGCUGCUAUAAUAACACCUGAAAUAGAACAAGACCAAGAAAUUGGAAAAGAAAAUGAAGAUGAAGAAGGUGAAAAGUAACUUAAACAAGAAAGAAAAGUGAAGAAAGAAAAUCAAGGUGAAGAAAAACACUCAGCUGCUAGAAAAAGUGAUGCAAGUUCCUUUGGAGAAUCUGAAGGGAUCCUAGUUUUUUAUUUUAUCAAAGACAUUCUCAAGGAAGCUAAGGCUGACCAAGCAAAACAGCAAGUAGAGAUGGAAUAAAAAGUUUAAUCAGCUCAACCAAGGACAAAACAAGCUGCAGGGGAAGCAGAUUAUGAUAAGGGUAAAGUAGUUGAUACUGCUCUUUUUGCGAAGAAAACUACAAAAAGGGGGAGAAAAACAAUGGCCACUACAACUAAGGUCUUUAGAAGAAGAAAAUUUGCUAGAAUAGCCGAGUCCAUUAUUAAACCAGUUCCCAAAUUUGCAUCACCUCAAGUUAUCUCCUCUAGACCAUCCUCACCUUCUAAACCCAAAUCCAUUCAUUCCAUUGAUGCUGAACCCCUUAAUGUCCACCUAAGGACUAAUGAAUCCUUUUUGAAUGAAUCCUCUUCUGACUCUGAUUAAAUGACUUUCAAUCUUAGGCCUUUCUUUUGCAUGAUGACAAAAAAGGGGAAAAAAGUAAAAAAGUAAGAAAAAUAGAAGUAGGAAGUAAGUUGGUAGAAAAGAUAGGAAAGACAAAUUCAGUCUUUAAGAUAUGCCUUUAUUGUCUUUGUUUUGGUAUGUUUUAUGGUAUGGUUUAUAAGACAAUGUUUUAUGUUGAGCUAUGAACAAUGGUUGAAUGCUUAUGGUUUUAUGAUGGAAUUAUAUUUAUGCUUAUAUGGUUUAUGUUUUCAUGGUUGAGUGGCUUUAUGCUCUUAUUUUCCAUACUUGUAUAUUGGAUAAUUUUAGUAAGGCACACAUUUAAGGAGAACAAUCUCGAAUCUGCAGAUAAAUUUUUUUUAGUAUGACAUUACACUCUUAAUCUAGGAGUGUUUUGUCAUCGUCAAAAAAGGGAGGAGAAUGUUGACUUGAUAUGGUUUUUGUGAUAACAAAACAUUCGUCAUUCAUUAAUGUAUAACCUCAUUAAUUAAGUGUGCAGGAUAAAGUCAAUUCCCUCAAUGAAAUGAAUGAUUAAAAGUAAGAUCAUAUCAUAGAUAGGAUAAUCAAUUAGAGUGAGAAAAAUGGAAAGAAUUUGUGAAGACAAGGCUUUUGUAACUGAUUAUCAAAAAGUCUUAAUCAAUUAAGGAAUGAUUGGACUAUAAGUUAAAGCAAAACAGAAAAAUGUUAAUCAGUUAGCACUAGGAUUAACUGAUUAAGAAGGUGCUGGACAAACCAAGACAGAGAUCUACUAAUCGGUUAAAGCAUGGUAUUAAUCAAUUAGAGCACAAGACUUGAAAAAUCUGUUAGUGUAAGCCUUGCAAGCCAAUUGAUUUUGUGCUUGUAAAACACUACAUUAAUUAGUCAUAUUUCAUGUUAAAUACAUUAUGGAUAUCUUAUAUAAUGUAUGAGGUAUUUCUUUACUAAUGAGUUUAUUUAUAAAGAGUUAUAAAAGAUUUGUGUUGAUAAAGUCCUUGGAACAUAAUGGCCUUGCAAAGAAAUUAUAAAGUUUAUAAUUAUGAGAUUUUUAUGCAUCAAAGCCUUGUUCCUAAAUAUAUUCCUGGUCAUUGUAUUGUUAAGAAUAAGGGCAUUGACAAUGCUCAAAGGCUGGUACAUGCUAUGUCUCCUUACUUUGGAAGUAAGCAAUUGAUUUUAUAGGUUGAAGUAUGUGAGAUACUAAGGGAUAGCUUGUGGGUGCUUGUUAAGGAACAAGUUCACUAAACAUGACCCGCUACGAGAGUUCCAUUUGGUAUUGUACUCAAGUGUCUAUGGAAAUACUAUCAUGUGUUAGUAGUAUAUGUAAUCUUUACACUUAUGAUACUAAGUCAUCUAGUAUGUGAAUUGUCAUGCUUUGAUUUCACCUUUAUGAGUCUAGAGGUGACCGACUGCAUAAACAGGGUGCUUUUGGGUAUGGCAUAAAGCAUACGAAGAUAAAUAAGUAGUCUAUAUAAGAUUCAUCACCCCAAGUGAUUUGAAGAGGACAUAUCUUAUUUGUUCCUAGCUUAUAUUGACUAAACGUUCUUGGCCAAGGCAAUUUUGAUAGGUCAAUAUGGAAGUUGUAGGACUAAUAUGGAUAAGUUAAAAAGUAGAUACCGAGCCAAGCUUUUUAUUGAUCCAGGAUAUAUGAUGAAAGGAUCGAAUUACACUCAAAUACUAUAAAUUGAAAGGUUAGUUAAACCAUAUUGACUCUCCUAACAUUUGAGUGGUCAUGAUGUAUUGCUAGAUACUGCUCAUGAUCUAUAAAUAUAAAUAUAAAUUCUUAUUUAAAUUAAUUUAUAUUUAUUACCAACAUAUUGGGUACUUAAUGGGUCACACACAUAAGGUCAAUUGUUGAAAUUAAUUUGAAUUCAAUUGGAUGUGAUCCAAUUGAUUUUAUAAAGGUUUAAUCCAAUUAAAUAUUGGGCUAAAUCAAAGAUGACUUUAUGGAAUAUUAAAUAAAAGCCCAAUUAGCCCAAGACAUUUUCUAAUCCUUGUUGGAUAUAAAUGUCACAGCCCAAUUUCCAAGCCAUGACCGACGUAAGGGCCCAAUGGGCUCAGCCCACUAAGCCCAAGCAAGCCUACUUAAUUGAUCUUAUACAUUAAUCCCUAUUUCUUUAGAAUCCAAAGCUCGAAAUGUUCAAAUACUGUUUCUUUGAAAAUGAUUCAUAAAACCCAAUCAUACAUUCAUAAUGGCAUCAUCCACUAAUAAAUUCAUUAAUAGAUUAACAAUGAUUCUUAAUGUUCACAUUAAAUAUUCACAUACAUAUAAUUAGACCUUGACUGUCAACGGAGUGACUCUGGGUACGAUUGAUAACACUUAGUGUCACAUUAAACCUAUCGAGUAAUGUACAGGGAGGAGCACCUCAUCCGAGGAUCCAAUCACCUUUGACUCAGGAAACCUAAAACAUGAAUUUUAAAAACGUGAGUAUAAACUCAGUGAGUGAACAUAAGAAGGGAACAAGCAUCAAUACGGGAGGUUUUACAAAUCAUGAUGCAUUUAUGUUGAAGACAAUGCAAUUUAACUCAAUUUCUUGUCACAACAGAAAUCUGUCUUUGCUGCGGUGAAAAUCAAGUGAAAACCGUUUCUCAAGUUUUAACAUUCAAAAAUCAAUGCAACCACAAUAUAAUUUCUAAAACCUCUAUAUAUAUAUAUAUAUAUAUCAUAUAUAAACAUAUAUAUAACCACUAGCCUCGCCCCCAACUUUGUCUCAGCUUAUGUGCACUACCACACGGUACAUAGCCGGGUCAGCACAGCUCAUGUGCACUCAUACACCGCACAUGGCUGGGUCAGCACAGCUCAUGUGCACUCCUACACCACACAUGGCUGGGUCAGCACAGCUCAUAUACACUCCUACACUGCACAUGGCUGGGUCAGCAUAGCUCAUGUGCACUCCUACACCGCACAUGGCUGGGUAAUAAUUAUCACACAAAAAUAUCAUUUAAUGUAUAAUAUACCUAUCAACAUAAUGUAGAAACUCAUGAAUUCAUCAUGUUCAUAUCUCAUAAUAUCAAAACAUUUCAUCAAGGGCUUAUUCCCAUGCAACUUUUAAAGAAAAACCAACAAAAUAUUUCAAGUGGCUCAAUCAAGCAUAAAAUCAUUUAUUCCAAAAUAUUUUAAUGCAAGUUCACUCACCUGGCAACAACGAGAUAUUAAGUUGCUAUUUGUUCAGAGGUGUCUCUAACUAUUUUCACUAGCCGGUCACUCGUUAUUUACUCCGGCAUGCCCCCACAAUACUCUAACUUUAUCUUUCCACUUUCUAGUAAUAAUACGAACUGUAUAUAUUUAAUUACAUAUGUAUACGAGCAGCACUUCAAUCAAUUAAUCCUUACUCAAAUUUAUAUUUUUCCUCCUAUCAUGAAACCAUCUUCAAUUAACUCACAUCUUAAUACAUUUUUACUAAAUUACUUAUAUCCAUUACUUACGUAAUUCCUUAAAUUAUAUCAUCGGCAACUUAAUUAUGAUGUCACGUGUCUACUUCAGUCUUUCUAAAUAAUUUUCACCAAAUCCCUCUUAUAUUUCCACACAUAAUCCACAUAUAUGGCAGCAACAAUCAUUCUCACUUUCACUCGAUUAUUUCCUAGUUUACACGCAUCGUUAUCUAUCUAACUUUCAAUACUUUGUUUCUCAAUCCUCCAUCCACAAUAUUCCUUUUUCAUUUCUUUCAAAUGACAUGCCAUACAAUCCUAACAAUUUUCAACUAGCUUAUGCAAGUAGAUCCUUUCAACAACCAUAAUUUCCCACAAUAUUCAACUAACCAUAGGCUUUAAAACAUAGUGCUAAGCUUAUCGUUUUCCUUUUCCACUUUGAGUCCUUCAUGUAUCCAUGGGUUUAUUGGCUUACAUGUUAUCAAUUUUUCUCCAAUCAAGCCAAUCGUUGCUGCCACAAGAGAUUUCUCUAAGUCACUAACUCAUUUUCAAAGACUACCCAAACCAAAAACAAGAAUUCUUACCGUUCCAUGCUUGAAUCACCAAAACCAAGCUUUUUUCUUCCUUUUUUUCUUUUUCUUUCUUCUUCUCCUAGAGUUUAUAUGUGCUGGAAAUUUGGGUUAGAAGUUGUAACUUUGGUGCACAAGAAGUUGGGAGAAGAAUGAAGCAAGAAGAGAAAAGAAAUGAAAAGAAAAUAAGGAAAGAAAAUGAAAGAAAAUUAGUUUUCCAUGGGAGAAUGAGAGAAUGGCAUUGGAAGCUUCAAGAAUGAAGAAGAAAA
RNAcentral lists this long non-coding RNA (5261 nucleotides) under Theobroma cacao (cacao). RNAcentral's name for it is "long non-coding RNA (TCAC_LNC004981)". The record is from RNAcentral. Lineage: Eukaryota; Viridiplantae; Streptophyta; Magnoliopsida; Malvales; Malvaceae.